Small nucleolar RNA from Scleropages formosus (Asian bonytongue), 80 nucleotides. NCBI's taxonomy places the organism in Eukaryota, Metazoa, Chordata, Actinopteri, Osteoglossiformes, Osteoglossidae. The record is from Ensembl.
CCUGUCGAUGAUGCUGAACCUACAUAGUUUGAGUUUCACUGCCAUGAGAAAACUUCACAUGCACUACCAUCUGAGACAGC